GGUGGAGGUGAAGAAGUUUGUGAAGAUCGGCCGCCCAGGCUACAAAGUGACCAAGCAGAGAGACUCGGAGAUGGGCCAGCAGAGCCUCCUCUUCCAGGUGAGAUCAGGGACUUGGGCGUGGGGGGCGGCCAAAGGCACCCGAGAGGCGGCACUGCCACCUGGCUGUGUCCCUGCAGAUUGACUACCCUGAGAUCGCCGAGGGCAUCAUGCCACGCCACCGCUUCAUGUCUGCGUACGAGCAGAGGAUCGAGCCUCCGGACCGGCGCUGGCAGUACCUGCUCAUGGCCGCCGAGCCCUAUGAGACCAUUGCCUUCAAGGUAGCAUGGCUGCGGGGUUCCCCGGGCCCCCUGAGAUGUGCAAGCCGGAAGGAUCUGCACAGGCCGGGCAGGGCACCUAUCGGGCUGCAGGGUCCCCUGGCCCCUGCCCUGAGUCGGAGCCAGAAGGGUCUGCACAGGCCGGGCAGGGCACCUCUGCCAUUGGGCUCUGCGGGAGGGGCCU
This 498-nucleotide small RNA is filed under the name Pongo abelii (Sumatran orangutan). Its description in RNAcentral is "retained intron". The record is from RNAcentral. Lineage: Eukaryota; Metazoa; Chordata; Mammalia; Primates; Hominidae.